AACGAACGCUGGCGGCAUGCCUAACACAUGCAAGUCGAACGAAGGCUUCGGCCUUAGUGGCGCACGGGUGCGUAACGCGUGGGAAUCUGCCCUUUGGUUCGGAAUAACAGCUGGAAACGGCUGCUAAUACCGGAUGAUGACGAAAGUCCAAAGAUUUAUCGCCAGAGGAUGAGCCCGCGUUGGAUUAGGUAGUUGGUGGGGUAAAGGCCUACCAAGCCGACGAUCCAUAGCUGGUCUGAGAGGAUGAUCAGCCACACUGGGACUGAGACACGGCCCAGACUCCUACAGGAGGCAGCAGUGGGGAAUAUUGGACAAUGGGCGCAAGCCUGAUCCAGCAAUGCCGCGUGAGUGAUGAAGGCCCUAGGGUUGUAAAGCUCUUUUACCCGGGAAGAUAAUGACUGUACCGGGAGAAUAAGCCCCGGCUAACUCCGUG
RNAcentral lists this ribosomal RNA (433 nucleotides) under uncultured bacterium. RNAcentral's name for it is "partial 16S ribosomal RNA". It matches the Rfam family "Bacterial small subunit ribosomal RNA", at positions 29 to 507 of the family's 1533-position model. The record is from RNAcentral.